This is a long non-coding RNA of Vigna angularis (adzuki bean), 2049 nucleotides long. RefSeq lists it as uncharacterized. The record is from RefSeq and is a predicted model, not a curated record. The transcript has 3 exons. NCBI's taxonomy places the organism in Eukaryota, Viridiplantae, Streptophyta, Magnoliopsida, Fabales, Fabaceae.
UCAAUCCUUGAAACUGAAAAUUAAAAGAAAUCUAAAAUCUCCCCCAAAGGGGAGGAGGAAAAUGGAAAGCCAGAACGUAAUUGCACUCUUAACUAUCCUACUCCUAAUUCUAAUGAGUUUUCUAUCGUGCAUGCUUCUCCAUUUUAUAGCUAAUUCUCUGAAACAAACUCCUUCAAUUCAGCCUUUGUUCUCUAACAGUUGUCCCCCUAGGCUUCUUGUCUUUUCUUCAAUACCAGUAGCUUUGAAGACUUUCUCAUCAAAAUGUUGCCUAGCCGUGCCAGCAGAAAUGAGGUGGGGGCCUCCAUUGUUUGUCUUUUUCUUCAAUUUGCCGUGUGCUUGCUAGACCCGUGAAUCUUCUUCUGCUCCUUCUUGCGGUUUCUCUCCAUGCAUGACAGCACUUCUUCUUUGCUCCUAGAUAUCAUCCAAGCCGUGGAAUGUCACUCCAAUCUGCUUCAAGUUUGCUGGACAUGAAGUUGAUGCCAACCGUGAAGUGCUUGUUGCUGUAGGAAUGGGGUUGCUGCUGGAUGCUUGAAAUUGCUGUCAUGGCUUUGCUGGACGUGACUGGUGCAGCUGCCUUCUUCAAGACCGUGAGCUUUGUGUAGAGUGGAAGAGGAAAAUUCUGCAGAUUCCUAAACCAAAGUGCCGUAAGCUUUGCCAAGAGUGGUGGCCCCCUUUUUCAAUCAAGCUUCACGUUAAUGGUUGAAUGAAAAUUUGUAAUGUGAAAGCCAUGUGUCCCUCCACUAUCUUACUUCUUCAAAGUCCAUUAUUUGUGCUCUUCUACGUGUGCACACAUGACCAUAGUUUUUUUUCCAAGCCAUUCAUCAAAUGCUUCUCCAAGUGGUGGCCCCAUAUGUUGACUCCUUUACCCUAUCAUAUUGUAUAACUUUCUCCAAUGACAAUAGAAGAAGAAAGAGGGGCCGUGUGCUAUAUACUUCCCUUCCUAUUGCUCAUAAAAUUUAACAUUUCAUCUUUGAACUCUUUCCAUGUGCCGUGACCUUCCAACAAAGGUGGUCCCCUUCUUUUCCAUCCAACACAUUCUUUUAUGAUUAAAACAAUAUGAAUGGCCGUGUGGUGUUUUCAUUUGGACAUUUUCAACAUGUGGCCCCUUCCUUUAAUUCUAAUUGGUGUGCUUUUGUGCUAGCUAUUUUGGUGAGAUGUUGUAUGUGCCCCUCCAUCAUGCUUCACGGCCACCUCCAUUUCUCAUAAACCAAAUAAACAUUCUUCAAUCAUAGGUGGUACUUCCAUUUUUGUUUCAUGCUGGAUACUUGCCAAAAUGAAUUGUAAUUGGAUGUGUGUGACUUCUCAGCAAAUAUUGGACCUUACUUCAAUUCAAAUGUGCCAAUAUGAUGAGUGAGAUGGAAUCAGAGAGAUACACCAGUUAGCAGUGGCGUCCUACAGAUGAUCAGGUCAAGAUGAUGACCAACAUCUACAACUAUGGGGUUACCCAUCCAAGCAGAGCGCAAGUCGUCGAGAUUGCGUCUCGACUAAGGGCUUUCGGCGAAGCUACUGACUACAACGUACACCACGACAAUCGGGUCAGGCGCUGGCAAGUAGAGAUAGACCCCACUGGCACUCUCUUUUCAAUGUUGCCGCUCUAUAUGUACGAAUAUGACUGGGUGAUUAUGAGGGCACCAAGGCUGUUGGAUUUGUUCCACAUUCCCAUCAUCAUCGACGAUGACAGAGAUGACGAUAAAUCCCUCCGCCUAGGCCUCCUACAUUCCGCACCAGAGCUCCCUCGACGGAGCUUACCUUAAGAACUCCACCCAACAACAACUUUCGUUUUUAAUGUUUUGUUAUAUUUUUUUUAUGUUUUUACUAGCCGAGUGUGGCCAGAAUUUGAAUAAGGCAUGUAAUAUGGACAAUUAUUUUUUUUUAUGUUUAUAUAUAUUUUUUUUAUUUUGGUGUGUAAAAUUAACGAUCAUUACUGAUCGAACAUCAAACAUCUUUAUUUUCAUAUAUCUAUUGCAAUUUCAUUUUCAGAUAUGUUAAAUCUCCAUUUUUCCAUUACUGUAAUUUUUUUGCAUUGAUGAAUGAAAUCUCUCUUAGUCU